CACUCCGAGGAGCGCUGCGAGACUGCAAUGGUCCCAGGCUCGGAAAAUUUGUAACGGCGCUCACCCAAC
This 69-nucleotide non-coding RNA is filed under the name Georgfuchsia toluolica. RNAcentral's name for it is "SAH (S-adenosyl-L-homocysteine) riboswitch aptamer". It matches the Rfam family "SAH (S-adenosyl-L-homocysteine) riboswitch aptamer". Lineage: Bacteria; Pseudomonadati; Pseudomonadota; Betaproteobacteria; Nitrosomonadales; Sterolibacteriaceae. The record is from Rfam by way of RNAcentral.